AUGCUGAGCUUGCCCAUUCUGCAACUGCUGCUUUUGAUAAAAGAUAUAACCAUCGGAGAAAAACAAGGCAAUUGCUGGAGAGAGCUCAGCCCUUGUGAGAAUGAAUUGCCCAGUGGGCCACAUUCUAUCAUCAGAAACUCACAGGAAAUUCACACUGGAGAUAAGACCAUGGAAAACACCUUGUAUUACAAUGGAAUUAUACCAGGCUUUGGAAAAUGGAACCAUUACUGGACAAGCAUUCCCAGGAACCUAAAGGAUACUCUAGUGAAUUAUUAAACUUAUUAAACCUAGCUCAAAAGAAGCUUGAGUUUCAGCAAGAAUUGUUGAUGUUUUUAUUUUAAACCACUAUAGAAUAUAUGCUUUGCCUUAUGCUUCCUUUAUUUUCCACAAAUCAUCAUCCUAAAUAAAUAUAUUCAUCAUAAUAAAUAUAAUAAUAAA
This 438-nucleotide long non-coding RNA is filed under the name Oryctolagus cuniculus (rabbit). RNAcentral describes it as "lncRNA (ENSOCUG00000038698.1)". Lineage: Eukaryota; Metazoa; Chordata; Mammalia; Lagomorpha; Leporidae. The record is from RNAcentral.